GUAGUUUGAAAAAUGUGUCCAGUGACCCAGCCAUCCAAUCAAGAUGGCCACCAUGGCUAAAAAUAGAACCUUGGGUAAAAUGCAGUUUUUGGCUUAUAACUCAAAAACCAAAGCAUUUAGAGUAAAUCUGACGUAGGUAAAUUUGUUUAUCAGGUCAAGAUCUACCUGCCCUGAAAUUUUCAGAUGAAUUGGACAACCCGGUUUUGGGUUGCUGCCCCAGAAUAAGUAAUUUUAAUGAAAUUUUGCUGUUUUUGGUUAUUAUCUUGAAUAUUAUUAUAGAUAGAGAUAAACUGUAAACAGCAAUAAUGUUCAGCAAAAAAAGAUUUACAAAUAAGUCAACAUGACCGAAAUGGUCAGUUGACCCCUUUAGGAGUUAUUGCCCUUAAUAGUCAAUUUUUAACCAUUUUUCGUAAAUCUUAGUAAUCUUUUACAUCUUCUCCUCUGAAACUACUUGGCCAAAUUACACCAAACUU
This 473-nucleotide long non-coding RNA is filed under the name Mytilus galloprovincialis (Mediterranean mussel). The record is from RNAcentral. Lineage: Eukaryota; Metazoa; Mollusca; Bivalvia; Mytilida; Mytilidae.